GAUGAAGAACGUAGCGAAUUGCGAUAAGUAAUGUGAAUUGCAGAUUUUCAGUGAAUCAUCGAAUCUUUGAACGCACAUUGCGCCCCUUGGUAUCCCGAGGGGCAUGCCUGUUCGAGCGUCAUUUCACCACUCAAGCCUGGCUUGGUGUUGGGCGACGUCCUCUUUGGGGACGCGCCUCGAAACGCUCGGCGGCGUGGCACCGGCUUUAAGCGUAGCAGAAUCUUUCGCUUUGGAAGUCGGGGCCCCGUCUGCCGGAAGACCUGCUCGCAAGGUUGACCUCGGAUCAGGCAGGGAUACCCGCUGAACUUAAGCAUAUCAAUAAGCGGAGA
Molecule: unclassified non-coding RNA, 329 nt
Filed under: soil metagenome
Description: partial contains 5.8S ribosomal RNA, internal transcribed spacer 2, and large subunit ribosomal RNA
Rfam family: 5.8S ribosomal RNA (bases 1-121)
Source: RNAcentral